This 64-nucleotide ribosomal RNA is filed under the name Lotharella globosa. Its description in RNAcentral is "partial Trypanosomatid mitochondrial large subunit ribosomal RNA". Lineage: Eukaryota; Cercozoa; Chlorarachniophyceae. The record is from RNAcentral.
CCAAAAAAAAAAAAAAUUAAUAAAGCCGAAAAAAUACCCCAAAAAAAUUAAAAAAAUUCGCAUA